Molecule: transfer RNA, 70 nt
Filed under: Marmota monax (woodchuck)
Lineage: Eukaryota; Metazoa; Chordata; Mammalia; Rodentia; Sciuridae
Description: tRNA.Val
Source: RNAcentral
GGAUAUAGAUCAGUUGGUAGAGUGCUUGCCUCACAUGCACAAAGUCCUGGGAGUUCAAUCCCCAGCACCA